RNAcentral lists this ribosomal RNA (1131 nucleotides) under Triticum aestivum (bread wheat). RNAcentral's name for it is "partial small subunit ribosomal RNA". The record is from RNAcentral. Lineage: Eukaryota; Viridiplantae; Streptophyta; Magnoliopsida; Poales; Poaceae.
AUGGAUGCAGCCCACUGGCCCCAGGGGCUAGGGCUGGUGAAGCCCAUGGAGGAGAUGCUGAUGGGAGCACCAAGCGCGAACCAGCAGGUGCAAGGGUCAAAUCCGAAUCCACCGGCGCAGGCCCCGUCGUCGGCGCCUGGGACUGGGGGGCCCAUGAGGGGCGGGACGCCGGCCAUGGCAGUGGCAGGCUCCGGAGCUGGGGCUGGUAGCACGGAGCGGCGGCCGCGGCCGCAGAAGGAGAAGGCGAUCAACUGCCCGCGGUGCAACUCCACCAACACCAAGUUCUGCUACUACAACAACUACAGCCUCCAGCAGCCGCGCUACUUCUGCAAGACGUGCCGCCGGUACUGGACGGAAGGCGGGUCGCUGCGCAACGUCCCCGUCGGCGGCGGAUCCCGCAAGAACAAGCGCUCUUCGUCGUCGUCCGCAUCCGCCUCCGCUUCAGCGGCCGCCUCGGCGACUGCGUCCGUCGCGAACUCGUCCAUGGUCGGGGCGGCGCCGAAUAAGAACCCGAAGCUGGCGCACGAGGGCGCAGCGCACGACCUGAACCUCGCCUUCCCGCACCACCAAGGCGGGAUGCAGGCGGAUUACAUGGCGUUCCCGAGCCUGGAGAGCAGCAGCAUGUGCAACCCCGGCGGCGGGGCAAUGGCGGGCAAUGGCGCCCGGGCCGGUGGCGCGCUCUCCGCGAUGGAGCUGCUCCGGAGCACUGGCUGCUAUAUGCCGCUGCAGAUGCCGAUGCAGAUGCCCGGGGAGUACGGCGCCGCGGGGUUCUCGCUCGGGGAGUUCCGCGCGCCGGCGCCACCGCAGUCGCAGAGCUUGCUAGGCUUCUCGCUGGACGCGCACGGUCCGGUGGGCGGGGCUUCCACGGCGGGGUACGGCUCCAGUGCCGCGAUGCAAGGGCUGCAGGACAGGUCGGGAAGGUUGCUGUUCGCGUUCGAGGACUUGAAGCCGACGGCAAACUCUGGCGCCGGUGGCGGUGAGAGCGGCGGUGGUUCUGGCGCGGGCGUGGAUGGCGGCGACCAUCAGUUCGAGCAAGGCAACAAGGAGCAACAAGGCAAUGGCACCCCCGUUGGGCAGCCCGACACGCCGGGGUUCUGGAACGGCAUGAUCGGCGGCGGCGGCACCUGGUAA